AAAACCCAUGAACUAUACCCCAAUUUCCAAAUUUACCAUGAACUAUUUUUUUUAUCAGCAAUUCCCUGAAUUUAAGGGGUUGACCAAUUUUUCCAUGCUUUUUUGCUCCGGUGAAGCUCCGAGCUGACCUGUCGCAUACGUGGUAUUACUGAGCUGAUAUGGCGCCUAUUGGACUGAAAGAUUGACACUUGAAAAAAAAAACAAAAAAAACAAAGAAAAAACAAAAACUCAUUUCCUUUGACUUCCUCCUCUCUUCUAUGUCCGUGGAAGUCCACCGGAGGAUCGCCGACAGCCAUGGCUCCAUCCAGCCAUUACAGCCGCCACCACAGGUGGCUGCUCCUCCACCGCCGCCGUUAUCGGAGGAGGAUAUCUUCUCCACUGCCUCAACUUCCAUUCCUCCGUCAUCGCCGCC
This 412-nucleotide long non-coding RNA is filed under the name Salvia miltiorrhiza (redroot sage). Its description in RNAcentral is "long non-coding RNA (SMIL_LNC013953)". Lineage: Eukaryota; Viridiplantae; Streptophyta; Magnoliopsida; Lamiales; Lamiaceae. The record is from RNAcentral.